RNAcentral lists this unclassified non-coding RNA (21 nucleotides) under Chlamydomonas reinhardtii. RNAcentral's name for it is "small RNA Cre_3391". The record is from RNAcentral. Lineage: Eukaryota; Viridiplantae; Chlorophyta; Chlorophyceae; Chlamydomonadales; Chlamydomonadaceae.
UGGGGGACUUGGGGUGACGGG